GAUGAACGCUAGCGAUAGGCCUAACACAUGCAAGUCGAGGGGCAUCACAUGAAGUAGCAAUACGGAUGGUGGCGACCGGCGCACGGGUGAGUAACACGUAUGCAACCUGCCUUCAACAAGGGGAUAACCCGUUGAAAGACGGACUAAUACCCUAUAACACAGGGGUCCCGCAUGGGAAUAUUUGUUAAAGGACAACCGGUUGAAGAUGGGCAUGCGUUCCAUUAGCUAGUUGGCGGGGUAACGGCCCACCAAGGCAACGAUGGAUAGGGGAACUGAGAGGUUUAUCCCCCACACUGGUACUGAGACACGGACCAGACUCCUACGGGAGGCAGCAGUGAGGAAUAUUGGUCAAUGGACGCAAGUCUGAACCAGCCACGUCGCGUGAAGGAAGACGGC
This 396-nucleotide ribosomal RNA is filed under the name uncultured bacterium. RNAcentral's name for it is "bacterial SSU rRNA". It matches the Rfam family "Bacterial small subunit ribosomal RNA", at positions 28 to 415 of the family's 1533-position model. The record is from RNAcentral.